GAUGAGAACGCAGCGAAAUGCGAUACGUAAUGUGAAUUGCAGAAUUCAGUGAAUCAUCGAAUCUUUGAACGCAUAUUGCGCUCUCUGGUAUUCCGGAGAGCAUGCUUGUUUGAGUAUCAGUAAACACCUCAACUCCCUUUUCUUUUUUGAAAUUGGAGCUGGACUUGAGUGAUCCCAACGCUUUCUUCCAAGAAAGUGGCGGGUUGCUUGAAAUGCAGGUGCAGCUGAACUUUUCUCUGAGCUAUAAGCAUAUCUAUUUAGUCUGCCUAAAAAACAGAUUAUUACCUUUGCUGCAGCUAACAUAAAGGAGACUAGUUCUUGUGCUGACUGAUGCAGGAUUCACAGAGACAGCUUCGGCUGACUUUGUAAACUCGAUCUCAAAUCAAGUAAGACUACCCGCUGAACUUAAGCAUAUCAAUAAGCGGAGGA
Molecule: unclassified non-coding RNA, 429 nt
Filed under: soil metagenome
Description: partial contains 5.8S ribosomal RNA, internal transcribed spacer 2, and large subunit ribosomal RNA
Rfam family: 5.8S ribosomal RNA (bases 5-119)
Source: RNAcentral